Molecule: ribosomal RNA, 492 nt
Filed under: uncultured bacterium
Lineage: Bacteria
Description: partial 16S ribosomal RNA
Rfam family: Bacterial small subunit ribosomal RNA
Source: RNAcentral
AGUGAACGCUGGCGGUAGGCCUAACACAUGCAAGUCGAACGGCAGCACAGUAAGAGCUUGCUCUUACGGGUGGCGAGUGGCGGACGGGUGAGGAAUACAUCGGAAUCUACUUUUUCGUGGGGGAUAACGUAGGGAAACUUACGCUAAUACAGCAUACGACCUACGGGUGAAAGCAGGGGAUCUUCGGACCUUGCGCGAUUGAAUGAGCCGAUGUCGGAUUAGCUAGUUGGCGGGGUAAAGGCCCACCAAGGCGACGAUCCGUAGCUGGUCGGAGAGGAUGAUCAGCCACACUGGAACUGAGACACGGUCCAGACUCCUACGGGAGGCAGCAGUGGGGAAUAUUGGACAAUGGGCGCAAGCCUUAUCCAGCCAUACCGCGUGGGUGAAGAAGGCCUUCGGGUUGUAAAGCCCUUUUGUUGGGAAAGAAAAGCAGCAGGUUAAGACCCCGCUGUUCUGACGGUACCCAAAGAAUAAGCACCGGCUAACUUCGUG